GUGUGAACUGCAGGACACAUGAACAUCGACAUUUUGAACGCACAUUGCGGUCCAUGCUA
This 59-nucleotide ribosomal RNA is filed under the name Phlebotomus perniciosus. RNAcentral's name for it is "partial 5.8S ribosomal RNA". Lineage: Eukaryota; Metazoa; Arthropoda; Insecta; Diptera; Psychodidae. RNAcentral also lists the same sequence under 2 other names. The record is from RNAcentral.